Molecule: ribosomal RNA, 450 nt
Filed under: uncultured bacterium
Lineage: Bacteria
Description: bacterial SSU rRNA
Rfam family: Bacterial small subunit ribosomal RNA
Source: RNAcentral
GUGGGGAAUUUUGGACAAUGGGCGCAAGCCUGAUCCAGCCAUGCCGCGUGCAGGAUGAAGGCCUUCGGGUUGUAAACUGCUUUUGUACGGAACGAAAAAGCUCUCUCUAAUACAGGGGGUGAAUGACGGUACCGUAAGAAUAAGCACCGGCUAACUACGUGCCAGCAGCCGCGGUAAUACGUAGGGUGCAAGCGUUAAUCGGAAUUACUGGGCGUAAAGCGUGCGCAGGCGGUUAUGUAAGACAGAGGUGAAAUCCCCGGGCUCAACCUGGGAACUGCCUCCAAAACUACUGGGCUAGAGUACGGUAGAGGGUAGUGGAAUUUCCUGUGUAGCGGUGAAAUGCGUAGAUAUGCGGAGGAACACCGAUGGCGAAGGCAAUCCCCUGGGCCUGCACUGACGCUCAUGCACGAAAGCGUGGGGAGCAAACAGGAUUAGAAACCCGUGUAGUCC